Non-coding RNA from Anas platyrhynchos (mallard), 377 nucleotides. NCBI's taxonomy places the organism in Eukaryota, Metazoa, Chordata, Aves, Anseriformes, Anatidae. The record is from RefSeq and is a predicted model, not a curated record.
ACUGUAGCCAGGUUUGUCAAGGAGGAUUUGCCCUUGGUAAAUCUGCACUGAAUGUUCCCGAUUACCUUCACAUCCAUACAUGACUGGAAAUGUUUCCAAGAGGACAUGGUCCAUGAUCUUUCCAGGGACUGAGUCUCUGUGCUGCUGUUGCUGAGGAUCUUCACAACAUGAAGUGGAGUGGUAAAGACUUCUACUUGCCAUGCAUGCAGGGUGAAAUCACCAAGCAGUGUUGUUAUUGAGUGGAGAAAACACAGACAGUGUGGAGCUGCUGAAAAUCAAUCAUAUUUUAGUGGUUUAACUCUGCUGCUUCUCCUGGUAUUAAAUGUCCUCUGAUAGGCCACAUUUACAGAGGACUACAAAAAAAAAAAGAAAAAAAA